CCGCGCUAACCGGGGAGUCAGCGGUGCCCUGUAAUCCGCAAUCCGCUAUAGCGGAGGUGAAUUCCGCCCCGAGGGGGCGUGCUGUGCCGUCUGCCCCGCAUAAGCGGCGUUGAAGGGCCGGUCUUGCGCAACAUACGCUCGUGAACCAAGUCAGGCGGGGAACCGAGCAGCUUUCAGCGAUGUCGUAUGUGUGCCGCGAGGGUGCCGGUUUGGAGCCAAACUGUUCGGGUAACGGGCAUAUCGCGUUUUCGGAGGGCGGUGCGCGG
Molecule: signal recognition particle RNA, 266 nt
Filed under: Oscillospiraceae bacterium
Lineage: Bacteria; Bacillati; Bacillota; Clostridia; Eubacteriales; Oscillospiraceae
Description: signal recognition particle sRNA large type
Rfam family: Bacterial large signal recognition particle RNA
About the family: The signal recognition particle (SRP) is a universally conserved ribonucleoprotein involved in the co-translational targeting of proteins to membranes. Archaeal SRP consists of a 7S RNA and homologues of the eukaryotic SRP19 and SRP54 proteins.
Source: RNAcentral